Molecule: ribosomal RNA, 448 nt
Filed under: uncultured bacterium
Lineage: Bacteria
Description: bacterial SSU rRNA
Rfam family: Bacterial small subunit ribosomal RNA
Source: RNAcentral
AACGAACGCUGGCGGCAUGCCUAACACAUGCAAGUCGAACGAAGUCUUCGGACUUAGUGGCGCACGGGUGCGUAACGCGUGGGAAUCUGCCCUUGGGUGCGGAAUAACUUCUCGAAAGGGAUGCUAAUACCGCAUAAUGUCGUAAGACCAAAGAUUUAUCGCCCAAGGAUGAGCCCGCGUAAGAUUAGCUAGUUGGUGGGUAAAAGCCUACCAAGGCGACGAUCUUUAGCUGGUCUGAGAGGAUGAUCAGCCACACUGGGACUGAGACACGGCCCAGACUCCUACGGGAGGCAGCAGUGGGGAAUAUUGGACAAUGGGCGAAAGCCUGAUCCAGCAAUGCCGCGUGAGUGAUGAAGGCCCUAGGGUUGUAAGGCUCUUUUACCAGGGAUGAUAAUGACAGUACCUGGAGAAUAAGCUCCGGCUAACUCCGUGCCAGCAGCCGCGGUAA